GCAACCAAAUGCUAAUGAAACUAAUGAAGGUAACAUAACACAAUCUACUGCACAUCCUAAGUUGAAAUCUAGGAGUGGGGUUUGGGUUCACUUUGAGAAAUUGAUUAAUUCUAAGGGUAGUGAGAUUGGUAGUGCUUAAUGUGUAUGGUGUAAAAAAGAUCUAAAUUAUAAGAGUGAAAGUGGCACUUCAAGUAUGUGGAAGCAUUUGAGGGAAUUUUGUAAAAAGUUCCCAUAUAAAAAAGAUUUAAAUAAAGAUAAAUAUCAAAAAACCUUGUCUUUUCAUAAAAGUUCUAGAAGUGAGGAUGUUAAGUUGACUUGUUGGCAAUUUGAUUAAGAUGUUUAUAGGGAGGCUUCUGUUAAGAUGAUAAUCAAAGAUGAACUUCCCUUUAGGUUUGUUGAGAAUGAAGGGUUUAUAGAGUUCUUACAAGUUGCUGUGCCACAAUUUUAAAUUCAAUCUAGAUAUAUAAUAGCAAGAGAUUGCUAUCAGUUAUUUAUUUCUUAGAAGAAGAAGAUGUCUACACUUAAUGCAUCUCAGUGUCAAAAGGUUUCUCUAACCAUAGACACAUGGACUAGUGUUCAAAAGUUGUCUUAUUUAUGUUUGAUUGCUCAUUUUAUUGAUUUAGAAUGGAAAAUGCAAAAAUGCUUCUUGAAUUUCACUAUUAUUAAGAGUCACAAAGGGUUGAAUAUUGGGAAUGUCAUUGAUUUUUGAAAGGAAGAGUGGGGUUUGUCUAAGGUUAUGGGCAUCACUAUCGAUAAUGCAUCUUUUAAUGACUCUACUGUUUCACAAUUGAAGAAAAAGCUACUUAGGAAAAAUGCAUUUAUAUUUGGUGGGGACGCAUUUCAUAUGAGGUAUUAUGCUUAUAUCAUACAAUUAGUUGUAAGGGAUGGACUUGAUGUUAUGCAAGGAUCUAUUAAAAGGAUUAGGAAUGUAGUGAAACAUAUAAGGAGCAGUCCACAAAACUCUGAAAUGUUUAAGAAGAAUUGUCAAUUGGCAGGACUCAAGUCUAAAUCCUCUUCAGAAUUAGAUUGUCCAACUAGGUGGAAUUCGACAUAUUUAAUGUUAGAAUCUGCAUUGACAUAUCAAAAAGCCUUUGAUAUGUUAGAAGAUGCAGACAAUCAAUUUCAAACUAAAUUUAGGGAUGAGUUGCCUAGUGAAUUUGAUUGGCAUAAUGCUAGGAUUCUUUGCAAAUUCCUUAAGAAAUUGUACAAUGUCACUUGUAAGUUGUCUGGGUGUUUGUAUUCCACAUCUAGCAUUUACUUUCCUGAGAUCAUGAAAAUUUUAAAAGAAUUGCAUAAUUGUGAAAAUAGUGGAGAU
This 1315-nucleotide unclassified non-coding RNA is filed under the name Hevea brasiliensis (rubber tree). The record is from RNAcentral. Lineage: Eukaryota; Viridiplantae; Streptophyta; Magnoliopsida; Malpighiales; Euphorbiaceae.